RNAcentral lists this signal recognition particle RNA (87 nucleotides) under Treponema sp. RNAcentral describes it as "signal recognition particle sRNA small type". It matches the Rfam family "Bacterial small signal recognition particle RNA". From Rfam's summary of the family: The signal recognition particle (SRP) is a universally conserved ribonucleoprotein involved in the co-translational targeting of proteins to membranes. Archaeal SRP consists of a 7S RNA and homologues of the eukaryotic SRP19 and SRP54 proteins. Lineage: Bacteria; Pseudomonadati; Spirochaetota; Spirochaetia; Treponematales; Treponemataceae. The record is from RNAcentral.
GGAACCAUGCGAGGGGCCGCCGCCCAACCCCGCCAGGUCCGGAAGGAAGCAACGGUAAGCGGAUUGCCCCUGCGCCGUGGGGGCGCA